This is a long non-coding RNA of Antechinus flavipes (yellow-footed antechinus), 507 nucleotides long. RefSeq lists it as uncharacterized. The record is from RefSeq and is a predicted model, not a curated record. Lineage: Eukaryota; Metazoa; Chordata; Mammalia; Dasyuromorphia; Dasyuridae. The transcript is spliced from 2 exons.
UCCCUUCUUUGUGGAUUUUAGGCUCUGAUCCUGCUUGCAGAGCUCUGGUAUAAAUAAGGGAUCAGUUUUUUUUCUGCUCACUAGAGACAAGCAGGCUGCUGCUAUUUCAUUGGAGAUUCUGAAGCACCAGGAAUCAUCAAGCCAUGAAGAUCUGCUUUCUUCUCAUGGUUUCUGUCUUCUUGACCAUCCAGGUCCAAGCUCAGAUGAGAGAAUUGCUGCUGACUCAGGAAGAGGCUAUGCCUGAGAGCCAAUUUCCUGAAACAAAAGAUUCAGAUAUAAUGGCUUCAGAUGCUCAGCAGAGAAAAACUGUUACCUGCUAUUGUAGAAUUAGCUGCCUUUUCCAGGAAACAAAUUCUGGAACUUGCCAGAUCAAUGGUGUAUCUUAUCCGCUAUGCUGUAAAUAACUCAAAGAACUUCUUGAACCAACUGAAGUAUUGAGAAGAGAAGAACUAUUAAUCCUGAUAAUCCCCUUUCUCUAACACAAAUAUAAUUCUAGCAUAAAGUUCA